CGUCACUGCGGGCGUCACAACUUCUUCUCCUUCUUCGGCGGCUUGCGAGCCAGCUUAUGUAUCUGCAUACCGCCGCCUCCGGAGCUGGAGCGCGAGGAAACUUCAACUGGACCUAUAAAUUCCUGGGAUUCGGUGUAUAACACUUGCAUAACGCAGCUCAGAUCUUCUACAAGAGCAAUGGCAACAUCUGAGCCCUGUGACAAAUGAGCUCUACAAGUCCCAGAAACACUUCUAUCCUUGGAAAAUCCAGUGUCCACUGGUCACAUUCCCUCCAAACCCUGUCCUACAGAGUGUUCAUCAGAACCAGAACGAGUGGGAAAGAGGUGGAAAUGAAAAAUCUACCAAAUAACUUUAAAAAAUAAAGUAACCUGUUUCAUCACAAUCGUUUAAUGUCCAGAAGCAUCAUGGCGGCAUGUUUUUGUUGUCGAGCCAAAUGGAUUCUGAAUGCAACUUGCAUUGCAAAAAACACAAAAAUAUUCAAUGUGAAAUAUGUAAUUUAUAUGAUUCAUGCAGAACUGAUGAGUCUUCAUGGGCGAGUGUUUUAGCACUCAGUUUACAUUCUUUCCUUUGUUCAAUUUUAUUAUUGUUUAUAAAAAUAAACACGCAUCCACAUCUGGAUCCUGCUGCACGUCACAUCGAGCUGUUUCUUAAAUUAGAUUUCUAUGAAAUCUUGAAUUUCUAUGAAUUAAAAUAUUCCACUCAACCAUGAAAAUGUUAUUUAAAAAAUAAAUAAAAUGCUUUAUCCAGACUAA
Long non-coding RNA from Ctenopharyngodon idella (grass carp), 752 nucleotides. RefSeq lists it as uncharacterized. The record is from RefSeq and is a predicted model, not a curated record. NCBI's taxonomy places the organism in Eukaryota, Metazoa, Chordata, Actinopteri, Cypriniformes, Xenocyprididae. The transcript has 2 exons.